AAACAAGAGGAUGAACACUACCUCGCCUCACCUGGGCAUAAUAUUUCAGUGUGGAGUCGAUUGAUGGGACUAUGUUUCAUGAAGCCAUUAGAAGACUGUUGCUGACUGAGAGGAGGUGGAUUUCUUCCAAAGCGGAGGACAGAGGGGGCCGAGUCUGUGAAUGAAGAGAGAGCCUGGAACGUGUUUGUCGGGAGAGUUCAACUGCGGAGCUUUGGGUUCAAAUCGAAUGACAUCGGGAAAUCAGAGCCUUGUGUUACAUGGAGGAAUUAGAUCUCUGUGUUUUAUGUUAUUCUUGUCGAGGCUUUGCUUAAUACUCGUGGGGCAUUGCAUGCCGUCAGACACCUUGUGAGGCACUUACAGUGCCUUCAGAAAGUAUUCAUACCCGUUGACUUAUUUCAUAUUGUGUUACAGCCUAAAUUCAAAAUGGAUGAAAAAAAAAAUUCUCACCCAUCUUCACACAAUACCCUGUAAUAACAAAGUGAAAACAUGUUUUUAGACAUUUUUGCAAAUGUAUUGAAAAUGAAAUACAUAAAUUAGUGUGCACACCCCUGAGUCAAUGUGUCACACCCUGACCAUAGUUUGCUUUGUAUGUUCUAUGUUUUGUUUGGUCAGGGUGUGAUCUGAGUGGGCAUUCUAUGUUGUGUG
Long non-coding RNA from Oncorhynchus tshawytscha (Chinook salmon), 645 nucleotides. The record is from Ensembl. NCBI's taxonomy places the organism in Eukaryota, Metazoa, Chordata, Actinopteri, Salmoniformes, Salmonidae.